CCUACGGGUGGCUGCAGUCGAGGAUCUUCCGCAAUGGGCGAAAGCCUGACGGAGCGACGCCGCGUGGGCGAUGAAGGCCUUCGGGUUGUAAAGCCCUGUCGAGAGUUAGGAAAUGCGGUGGGGAAUAAUACCCCUGCCGUUUGACAAAGGCUCUGGAGGAAGCCACCGCUAAUUACGUGCCAGCAGCGGCGGUAAGACGUAAGUGGCAAGCGUUGUUCGGAAUCACUGGGCAUAAAGGGCGCGUAGGCGGCGCUGUACGUCAGGGGUGAAAUCCCCCGGCUCAACCGGGGAAUUGCCUCUGAAACUGCAGUGCUCGAGGCCGCGAGGGGAGCGUGGAACUCUUGGUGGAGCGGUGAAAUGCGUAGAUAUCAAGAGGAACGCCGGAGGCGAAAGCGACGCUCUGGCGCGGUACUGACGCUGAGGCGCGAAAGCUAGGGGAG
RNAcentral lists this ribosomal RNA (440 nucleotides) under uncultured bacterium. Its description in RNAcentral is "bacterial SSU rRNA". It matches the Rfam family "Bacterial small subunit ribosomal RNA", at positions 338 to 768 of the family's 1533-position model. The record is from RNAcentral.